GAUGAACGCUGGCGGCGUGCUUAACACAUGCAAGUCGAACGGAGCACCCUUGAAGGAGUUUUCGGACAACAGAUAGGAAUGCUUAGUGGCGGACGGGUGAGUAACGCGUGAGGAACCUGCCUUGGAGAGGGGAAUAACACAGUGAAAAUUGUGCUAAUACCGCAUGAUGCAGUUGGGUCGCAUGGCUCUGACUGCCAAAGAUUUAUCGCUCUGAGAUGGCCUCGCGUCUGAUUAGCUAGUUGGUGGGGCAACGGCCCACCAAGGCGACGAUCAGUAGCCGGACUGAGAGGUUGACCGGCCACAUUGGGACUGAGACACGGCCCAG
Molecule: ribosomal RNA, 325 nt
Filed under: uncultured bacterium
Lineage: Bacteria
Description: bacterial SSU rRNA
Rfam family: Bacterial small subunit ribosomal RNA
Source: RNAcentral